CCCUUAGAUGUUCUGGGCCGCACGCGCGCUACACUGUUCGACGCAGCGAGUCUUAACCUUGACCGAAAGGUUUGGGUAAUCUUCAGCAAAGUCGAACGUGAUGGGGAUCGAUCAUUGCAAUUAUUGAUCGUGAACGAGGAAUUCCUAGUAAGUGCAAGUCAUCAGCUUGCGUUGAUUACGUCCCUGCCCUUUGUACACACCGCCCGUCGCUACUACUGAUUGGAUGUUUAAGCGAGGUUCUCGAACUGCUAGCGACUUAGCUUCGGUGAGGUCGCAGUGUGGGAAGUGAACCUAGCUUUGGUGUCUAGAGGAAGUAAAAGUCGUAACA
This 328-nucleotide ribosomal RNA is filed under the name uncultured eukaryote. RNAcentral describes it as "partial 18S ribosomal RNA". It matches the Rfam family "Eukaryotic small subunit ribosomal RNA", at positions 1470 to 1796 of the family's 1831-position model. The record is from RNAcentral.